This is a non-coding RNA of Acanthosepion pharaonis, 113 nucleotides long. The record is from the annotation of a GenBank genome assembly. Lineage: Eukaryota; Metazoa; Mollusca; Cephalopoda; Sepiida; Sepiidae.
UUACGGCCAUAGCAUUUUGAAACAUCGGUUCACUUCCGAUCAUUGUAGUUAAGCAGCGUCGUUCCUGGUCAGUAACAGGAUGCCCGACCGCUUGAGAAUACCAGGAGCUGUAA